CUGAGUGACCAUCACUGUGGGUAUCCACACUGUGAGGUGUGAGGUGUCCAUCACUGUGGGGUGUGGGUGUCCAUCACUGUGGGUGUCCAUCACUGUGGGGUCUGAGUGACCAUCACUGUGGGUAUCCACACUGUGAGGUGUCCAUCACUGUGGGGUGUGGGUGUCCAUCACUGUGGGUGUUCAUCACUGUGGGUGUCCAUCACUGUGAUGUCUGAGUGACCAUCACUGUGGGGUGUAGGUGUCCAUCACUGUGGGGUGUAGGUGUCCAUCACUGUGGGUGUCCAUCACCAUGGGGUGUAGGUGUCCAUCACUGUGGGGUGUAGGUAUCCUUCACUGUGGGUGUUCAUCACUGUGGGUGUCCAUCACUGUGGGUGUCCAUCACUGUGGGGUGUGAGGGUCCGUCACCACGGCGUGUGUGUGUCCAUUACUGUGGGUGUCCAUCACCGCAGAGUAUAGGUGUCCGUCACUGUGGGGUGUGGGUGUCCAUCACUGUGAGGUCUGAGUGACCAUCACUGUGGGUAUCCAUACUGUGGGGUGGGGGUGUCCAUCACUGUGGGUGUUCAUCACUGUUAGGUGGGUGGUGUCCAUCACUGUGCGAUGUAAUGGAGCCGUCACUAUGGCGAGUGUGUGACCAAAACAG
Molecule: long non-coding RNA, 640 nt
Filed under: Oryctolagus cuniculus (rabbit)
Lineage: Eukaryota; Metazoa; Chordata; Mammalia; Lagomorpha; Leporidae
Description: lncRNA (ENSOCUG00000031628.1)
Source: RNAcentral